This 425-nucleotide ribosomal RNA is filed under the name uncultured bacterium. RNAcentral's name for it is "partial 16S ribosomal RNA". It matches the Rfam family "Bacterial small subunit ribosomal RNA", at positions 354 to 796 of the family's 1533-position model. The record is from RNAcentral.
GUGGGGAAUCUUGCGCAAUGGGCGAAAGCCUGACGCAGCCAUGCCGCGUGAAUGAUGAAGGUCUUAGGAUUGUAAAAUUCUUUCACCGGGGACGAUAAUGACGGUACCCGGAGAAGAAGCCCCGGCUAACUUCGUGCCAGCAGCCGUGGUAAUACGAAGGGGGCUAGCGUUGCUCGGAAUUACUGGGCGUAAAGGGCGCGUAGGCGGAUCGUUAAGUCAGGGGUGAAAUCCCAGAGCUCAACUCUGGAACUGCCCUUGAUACUGGCGAUCUUGAGUGUGAGAGAGGUAUGUGGAACUCCGAGUGUAGAGGUGAAAUUCGUAGAUAUUCGGAAGAACACCAGUGGCGAAGGCGACAUACUGGCUCAUUACUGACGCUGAGGCGCGAAAGCGUGGGGAGCAAACAGGAUUAGAAACCCUUGUAGUCC